RNAcentral lists this ribosomal RNA (402 nucleotides) under uncultured bacterium. RNAcentral describes it as "bacterial SSU rRNA". It matches the Rfam family "Bacterial small subunit ribosomal RNA", at positions 355 to 774 of the family's 1533-position model. The record is from RNAcentral.
UCGGGAAUUUUGGGCAAUGGGCGAAAGCCUGACCCAGCAACGCCGCGUGAGGGAUGAAGUAUUUCGGUAUGUAAACCUCGAAAGAAUGGGAAGAAUAAAUGACGGUACCAUUUAUAAGCUCCGGCUAACUACGUGCCAGCAGCCGCGGUAAUACGUAGGGAGCAAGCGUUGUUCGGAUUUACUGUGCGUAAAGGGCGCGUAGGCGGCGCGGUAAGUCACUUGUGAAAUCUCUGAGCUUAACUCAGAACGGCCAAGUGAUACUGCUGUGCUAGAGUGCGGAAGAGGCAACCGGAAUUCGUGGUGUAGCGGUGAAAUGCGUAGAUAUCAAGAGGAACACCUGAGGCGAAGGCGGGUUGCUGGGCCGACACUGACGCUGAUGCGCGAAAGCCAGGGGAGCAAACG